Molecule: ribosomal RNA, 468 nt
Filed under: uncultured bacterium
Lineage: Bacteria
Description: partial 16S ribosomal RNA
Rfam family: Bacterial small subunit ribosomal RNA
Source: RNAcentral
GACGAACGCUGGCGGCGUGCUUAACACAUGCAAGUCGAACGGAAAGGCCCUGCUUUUGUGGGGUGCUCGAGUGGCGAACGGGUGAGUAACACGUGAGUAACCUGCCCUGGACUUUGGGAUAACUUCAGGAAACUGGGGCUAAUACCGGAUAGGAGCUCCUGCUGCAUGGUGGGGGUUGGAAAGUUUCGGCGGUUGGGGAGGGACUCGCGGCUUAUCAGCUUGUUGGUGGGGUAGUGGCUUACCAAGGCUUUGACGGGUAGCCGGCCUGAGAGGGUGACCGGCCACAUUGGGACUGAGAUACGGCCCAGACUCCUACGGGAGGCAGCAGUGGGGAAUAUUGCACAAUGGGCGGAAGCCUGAUGCAGCAACGCCGCGUGCGGGAUGACGGCCUUCGGGUUGUAAACCGCUUUCGCCUGUGACGAAGCGUGAGUGACGGUAAUGGGUAAAGAAGCACCGGCUAACUACGUG